UGGCACAUCGCAACAGACGGUUCCCCAAGCCGGAAAAACCGCACGGGGAUGAAAAGGGAACGCGGUGAGGUGUAGCCAUCAGGCGCCAAACCCGCGACUGCCCCCGCAACUGUAAGCGGCGAGCCGCCCCCGAUUGCGCCACUGGCCCCAAGGCCGGGAAGGCCAGGGGACCGGCCCCGACCCGCGAGUCAGGAGACCUGCCGUCAAAGCCCCGGGGCA
Molecule: non-coding RNA, 219 nt
Filed under: Paracoccus solventivorans
Lineage: Bacteria; Pseudomonadati; Pseudomonadota; Alphaproteobacteria; Rhodobacterales; Paracoccaceae
Source: RNAcentral